GCGCCCAUCGUCUAGCGGUUAGGACACCGCCCUCUCACGGCGGCAACACGGGUUCGAGUCCCGUUGGGCGUA
RNAcentral lists this transfer RNA (72 nucleotides) under Mycoplana dimorpha. It matches the Rfam family "tRNA". Rfam says of the family: Transfer RNA (tRNA) molecules are approximately 80 nucleotides in length. Their secondary structure includes four short double-helical elements and three loops (D, anti-codon, and T loops). Further hydrogen bonds mediate the characteristic L-shaped molecular structure. tRNAs have two regions of fundamental functional importance: the anti-codon, which is responsible for specific mRNA codon recognition, and the 3' end, to which the tRNAs corresponding amino acid is attached (by aminoacyl-tRNA synthetases). tRNAs cope with the degeneracy of the genetic code in two manners: having more than one tRNA (with a specific anti-codon) for a particular amino acid; and 'wobble' base-pairing, i.e. permitting non-standard base-pairing at the 3rd anti-codon position. Lineage: Bacteria; Pseudomonadati; Pseudomonadota; Alphaproteobacteria; Hyphomicrobiales; Rhizobiaceae. The record is from Rfam by way of RNAcentral.